GACGAACGCUGGCGGCGUGCUUAACACAUGCAAGUCGAACGCUGAAGCACCAGCUUGCUGGUGUGGAUGAGUGGCGAACGGGUGAGUAAUACGUGAGUAACCUGCCCUUGACUCUGGGAUAAGCCCGGGAAACUGGGUCUAAUACUGGAUGCUACAUGUCACCGCAUGGUGGUGUGUGGAAAGGGUUUACUGGUCUUGGAUGGGCUCACGGCCUAUCAGCUUGUUGGUGAGGUCAUGGCUCACCAAGGCGACGACGGGUAGCCGGCCUGAGAGGGUGACCGGCCACACUGGGACUGAGACACGGCCCAGACUCCUACGGGGGGCAGCCGUGGGGAAUAUUGCACAAUGGGCGAAAGCCUGAUGCAGCGACGCCGCGUGGGGGAUGACGGCCUUCGGGUUGUAAACCUCUUUCAGCAGGGAAGAAGCCACAAGUGACGGUACCUGCAGAAGAAGCGCCGGCUAACUACGUG
RNAcentral lists this ribosomal RNA (470 nucleotides) under uncultured bacterium. Its description in RNAcentral is "partial 16S ribosomal RNA". It matches the Rfam family "Bacterial small subunit ribosomal RNA", at positions 28 to 507 of the family's 1533-position model. The record is from RNAcentral.